UCAGUGAAUCAUCGAAUCUUUGAACGCACAUUGCGCCCGCCAGCAUUCUGGCGGGCAUGCCUGUUCGAGCGUCAUUUCAACCCUCGAGCUCGUCUUCAU
Molecule: ribosomal RNA, 99 nt
Filed under: Zarea fungicola
Lineage: Eukaryota; Fungi; Ascomycota; Sordariomycetes; Hypocreales; Cordycipitaceae
Description: Lecanicillium fungicola 5.8S ribosomal RNA
Rfam family: 5.8S ribosomal RNA (bases 1-74)
About the family: 5.8S ribosomal RNA (5.8S rRNA) is a component of the large subunit of the eukaryotic ribosome. It is transcribed by RNA polymerase I as part of the 45S precursor that also contains 18S and 28S rRNA.
Source: RNAcentral